GGAGGGGUGGCUCAGGGAUUAAGAGCACUGACUGCGCUUCCAGAGGACCUGGGUUCAAUUCCCAGCACCCACA
Mesocricetus auratus (golden hamster) is the source of this 73-nucleotide non-coding RNA. The record is from Rfam. Lineage: Eukaryota; Metazoa; Chordata; Mammalia; Rodentia; Cricetidae.